CAAGCAGAAGACGGCAUACGAGAUGUGACUGGAGUUCAGACGUGUGCUCUUCCGAUCUCUCCACCCAGACUCAUCCAUCUGCACCCUCAUAGAGAGUUUCUGUUGGUGCCGACAUUGCCCUAUACGACCGUACCGCAAACCGACACUGGUGCGCGAGAUGAGUAUUCUAAGGCGCUUGAGAGAACUCAGGAGAAGGAACUCGGCAAAUUGACACCGUAACUUCGGAAGAAGGUGUGCCCUAUUAGUGUGUAGUGAACAACGAAGCAUGAAUGGGUUGCAAAAAAUCGGUGGCUGCGACUGUUUAUUAAAAACACAGCACUCUGCAAACACGAAAGUGGACGUAUAGGGUGUGACGCCUGCCCGGUGCUGGAAGAUUAAAUGAUGGGGUGCAAGCUCUUGAUUGAAGUCCCAGUAAACGGCGGCCGUAACAAUAACGGUCCUAAGGUAGCGAAAUUCCUUGUCGGGUAAGUUCCGACCUGCACGAAUGGCGUAACGAUGGCCACACUGUCUCCUCCUGAGACUCAGCGAAGUUGAAAUGUUUGUGAUGAUGCAAUCUCCCCGCGGAAAGACGGAAAGACCCCAUGAACCUUUACUGUAGCUUUGUAUUGGACUUUGAACAGAUCUGUGUAGGAUAGGUGGGAGGCUUUGAAGCAGGGUCGCUAGAUCUUGUGGAGCCAACGUUGAAAUACCACCCUGGUGUGUUUGAGGUUCUAACCUAGGUCCAUUAUCUGGAUCGGGGACAGUGCAUGGUAGUCAGUUUGACUGGGGCGGUCUCCUCCCAAAGCGUAACGGAGGAGUUCGAAGGUACGCUAGUUACGGUCGGACAUCGUGACGAUAGUGCAAUGGCAUAAGCGUGCUUAACUGCGAGACUGACAAGUCGAGCAGAUGCGAAAGCAGGACAUAGUGAUCCGGUGGUUCUGUAUGGAAGGGCCAUCGCUCAACGGAUAAAAGGUACUCUCUGGAUAACAGGCUGAUACCGCCCAAGAGUUCAUAUCGACGGCGGUGUUUGGCACCUCGAUGUCGGCUCAUCUCAUCCUGGGGCUGUAGCCGGUCCCAAGGGUAUGGCUGUUCGCCAUUUAAAGAGGUACGUGAGCUGGGUUUAAAACGUCGUGAGACAGUUUGGUCCCUAUCUUCCGUGGGCGCUGCGGAUUUGAGGAAGCCUGCUCCUAGUACGAGAGGACCGGAGUGGACACACCUCUGGUGUAUCGGUUGUCACGCCAGUGGCAUUGCCGAGUAGCUAAGUGUGGAAGAGAUAACCGCUGAAAGCAUCUAAGCGGGAAACUCGUUUCAAGAUGAGAUCUGCCGGGGCCUUGAGCCCCCUAAAGAGUCGUUCAAGACCAGGACGUCGAUAGGUCAGGUGUGGAAGCCAAAAA
This 1373-nucleotide ribosomal RNA is filed under the name metagenome. Its description in RNAcentral is "bacterial LSU rRNA". It matches the Rfam family "Bacterial large subunit ribosomal RNA", at positions 1462 to 2880 of the family's 2925-position model. The record is from RNAcentral.